This 253-nucleotide ribosomal RNA is filed under the name uncultured bacterium. RNAcentral's name for it is "partial 16S ribosomal RNA". It matches the Rfam family "Bacterial small subunit ribosomal RNA", at positions 524 to 776 of the family's 1533-position model. The record is from RNAcentral.
GACAGAGGGUGCAAACGUUGUUCGGAAUUACUGGGCGUAAAGCGUGCGCAGGCGGCCUCUUAAGUCAGAUGUGAAAUCCCCGGGCUUAACCUGGGAACUGCGUUUGAAACUGGGAGGCUUGAGUGUGGAAGAGGGGGGUGGAAUUCCAGGUGUAGCAGUGAAAUGCGUAGAGAUCUGGAGGAACACCGAUGGCGAAGGCAGCCCCCUGGGCUAACACUGACGCUCAUGCACGAAAGCGUGGGGAGCAAACAGG